This is a long non-coding RNA of Papaver somniferum (opium poppy), 577 nucleotides long. RefSeq lists it as uncharacterized. NCBI's taxonomy places the organism in Eukaryota, Viridiplantae, Streptophyta, Magnoliopsida, Ranunculales, Papaveraceae. The transcript is spliced from 4 exons. The record is from RefSeq and is a predicted model, not a curated record.
GGGAGUCUUAGAAGCUUGGCAUUUCUUCUCCAGAGCCAAAGCUGCUGAGAAGGAUAAUCCCAAUAAGGUCUCCAUUUUCAUCAUUCCCAGUAAGGUCUCCGUUUGCAUCAUUAGUUUGAAAAAUAAAAAGGAGUGAUGGCCGAAGAUGUCAGUGCUCAGCUUAUUACUAAUAAUGGCCAGUUUUUUCUACUACCACUGAGGAUGGUGGUUGGUAUUAGUAGCAACGCCAAGGAAUUUGAGGUUACCUGUCCGAUUUGCAAUUUCCGGAUGCUCGGCAAUCCGUUCCAUUUCUAUCCCUAUGCGGUCAUCCGUGGUACUAUGCAGGUGAUUUGCAAUGGAUGUGAUUCAUUGGAGUUUGUGUAUUUAGGAUUAGAUGAAAAUGAGGAGCAUGAAGUUACUCAACUUGAUAGCCCACCAGAUGCCAGCCCAUGACUGUGUCUUUGAUUUGGUUGUUUUCACUGCUUUUAAUCUCGUUGAGAUUAACUCAUUCUGGUAGUUUAAAUGAAUUGCUUAAGUAUUACACAACUAUGAAUUUUGUUAGAUUGGAAAUGUUGGAAAAUCAGCUCUUUAAUCUAUA